GAUGAAGAACGUAGUGAAAUGCGAUAAGUAAUGUGAAUUGCAGAAUUCAGUGAAUCAUCGAAUCUUUGAACGCACAUUGCGCCCGCCAGUAUUCUGGCGGGCAUGCCUGUUCGAGCGUCAUUACAACCCUCAGGCCCCCGGGUCUGGCGUUGGGGAUCGGCGGAGCCCCCCGUGGGCACACGCCGUCCCCCAAAUGCAGUGGCGGUCCCGCCGCAGCUUCCAUCGCGUAGUAGCUAACACCUCGCGACUGGAGAGCGGCGCGGCCACGCCGUAAAACACCCAACUCUUCUGAAGUUGACCUCGAAUCAGGUAGGAAUACCCGCUGAACUUAAGCAUAUCAAUAGCGGAGGA
This 351-nucleotide unclassified non-coding RNA is filed under the name soil metagenome. RNAcentral describes it as "partial contains 5.8S ribosomal RNA, internal transcribed spacer 2, and large subunit ribosomal RNA". The stretch from base 1 to 120 matches the Rfam family "5.8S ribosomal RNA", at positions 35 to 154 of the family's 154-position model. The record is from RNAcentral.